RNAcentral lists this unclassified non-coding RNA (221 nucleotides) under Hevea brasiliensis (rubber tree). Lineage: Eukaryota; Viridiplantae; Streptophyta; Magnoliopsida; Malpighiales; Euphorbiaceae. The record is from RNAcentral.
AAAAAAAAAAAAAAAAAAGCCCCUCAAAACCGCCUGACGAAUUCCUGGUCCCCCUUCUUCAACCAGACCAACGGUACAGUCCAGUUUGAACCUUGAAUUUUUUAAAAAGAAAAAAAUUUGAAAACUAUUUCAAUUAUAUUCACUUAACCCAGAUUAAACUUGAACUUCCCUUGAAUUGGAACCAACUCUGCCUAAGUAAUUUGCGCUUAGCCGGUCCCAAG